Molecule: ribosomal RNA, 1057 nt
Filed under: Parasterope styx
Lineage: Eukaryota; Metazoa; Arthropoda; Ostracoda; Myodocopida; Cylindroleberididae
Description: SSU rRNA
Rfam family: Eukaryotic small subunit ribosomal RNA
Source: RNAcentral
UCCCGGCACGGGGAGGUAGUGACGAAAAAUAACAAUACGGGACUCUACCGAGGCCUCGUAAUUGGAAUGAGUACAAUUUAAAAUCAUUAAUGAGGAUCUAUUGGAGGGCAAGUCUGGUGCCAGCAGCCGCGGUAAUUCCAGCUCCAAUAGCGUAUAUUAAAGUUGUUGCGGUUAAAAAGCUCGUAGUUGGAUCUCAGUUCUGGGUGAGCACGGGUCCGCCAUAACAUUGGUGGACUGCUGACUUGCCCGGUGCAAAAUCGCCCGGCUUCCCCCACGGUGCUCUUCACCGAGUGUCGUGGGUGGCCGACACGUUUACUUUGAGAAAACCAGAGUGCUUAAAGCAGGCGCAAGACGCCCGAAUGACUGUGCAUGGAAUAAUGGAAGAGGAUCUCGCUUCUGUCUUUGUUGGUUCCUCGGAAGGCGAGAUAAUGAUUAAUAGAAGCAGUCGGGGGCAUUCGUAUUGCGACGUUAGAGGUGAAAUUCUUGGAUCGUCGCACGACGAACUACUGCGAAAGCAUUUGCCAAGAAUGUUUUCGUUAAUCAAGAACGAAAGUCAGAGGUUCGAAGGCGAUCAGAUACCGCCCUAGUUCUGACCAUAAACGAUGCCAACUGGCGAUCUGCCCUAGUUACUCGCACGACUGGGCAGGCAGCCUCCGGGAAACCAAAGUCUUUGGGUUCCGGGGGAAGUAUGGUUGCAAAGCUGAAACUUAAAGGAAUUGACGGAAGGGCACCACCAGGAGUGGAGCCUGCGGCUUAAUUUGACUCAACACGGGAAACCUCACCAGGCCCGGACACCAAAAGGAUUGACAGAUUGAGAGCUCUUUCUUGAUUUGGUGGGUGGUGGUGCAUGGCCGUUCUUAGUUGGUGGAGCGAUUUGUCUGGUUAAUUCCGAUAACGAACGAGACUCUAGCCUGCUAACUAGCCGGUGGAUCAAUAAAUUCAUAUGCGGCGAAGCGGUGUUGUUAUUCUUCGGAGUGCAUCCUGCAUAGUCGCGUCCACCGAGUCUUCUUAGAGGGACAGGCGGCGUUUAGCCGCACGAGACGGAGCAAUAACAGGU